GGUGAACGCUGGCGGUAGGCCUAACACAUGCAAGUCGAACGGCAGCACAGGAGAGCUUGCUCUCUGGGUGGCGAGUGGCGGACGGGUGAGGAAUACAUCGGAAUCUACUCUGUCGUGGGGGAUAACGUAGGGAAACUUACGCUAAUACCGCAUACGACCUACGGGUGAAAGCAGGGGAUCUUCGGACCUUGCGCGAUUGAAUGAGCCGAUGUCGGAUUAGCUAGUUGGCGGGGUAAAGGCCCACCAAGGCGACGAUCCGUAGCUGGUCUGAGAGGAUGAACAGCAACGCUGGAACUGGGACACGGGCCAGACUCCUACGGGAGGCAGCAGUGGGGAAUAUUGGACAAUGGGCGCAAGCCUGAUCCAGCCAUACCGCGUGGGUGAAGAAGGCCUUCGGGUUGUAAAGCCCUUUUGUUGGGAAAGAAAUCCAGCUGGCUAAUACCCGGUUGGGAUGACGGUACCCAAAGAAUAAGCACCGGCUAACUUCGUGCCAGCCGCCGCAGUAA
Molecule: ribosomal RNA, 506 nt
Filed under: uncultured bacterium
Lineage: Bacteria
Description: partial 16S ribosomal RNA
Rfam family: Bacterial small subunit ribosomal RNA
Source: RNAcentral